RNAcentral lists this long non-coding RNA (443 nucleotides) under Pongo abelii (Sumatran orangutan). Its description in RNAcentral is "lincRNA". The record is from RNAcentral. Lineage: Eukaryota; Metazoa; Chordata; Mammalia; Primates; Hominidae.
AGGAGAGAGGAGCCUGCAGCUUGAGGAAGUUCAGAGAAAACCCAGCCCUUUCACCAAGCUGUGAAGAAGCCAAGCAGGUCUCAUGGAAAAACCACGUAUAGGUGUUUCUGCCGAGAGGCCCAGCCAAGAUCCCAGCAACAGUCAGCAUCAACCACCAGACAUAAACCGGCCAGGUGGAGGAUGCAGCCGGGCGUGGUGGCUACAAGGAAGUGCCCUGGUGUUAAGAACUCAGCCUCUGAAACUCGCCGCCCAACUUCGAGUCAGCGACGUACUUUUGUUGUCCCGGCCUUAGUAUCCCCGCUGCAAUAAGAGGUACUCAGCUCAAACCAUCUGGACGAGGAUUAAACGAGUUCAUAUCCAUAAAGGACUAGAACAGGUCCUGGCACCACGUAAACAUUCUUAUCAUCAAGGGUUAAAAAACAAAGUUCUCUAAGAUUUCGAAA